Molecule: transfer RNA, 73 nt
Filed under: Stegodyphus mimosarum
Lineage: Eukaryota; Metazoa; Arthropoda; Arachnida; Araneae; Eresidae
Rfam family: tRNA
About the family: Transfer RNA (tRNA) molecules are approximately 80 nucleotides in length.
Source: Rfam by way of RNAcentral
GCCUUCGUGGUGUAAUGGUCAGCACACUGAGCCGGUAUUUCAGAGGUCGGUGGUUCGAUUCCCGGCGAAGGCC